Molecule: long non-coding RNA, 544 nt
Organism: Cyprinus carpio (common carp)
Lineage: Eukaryota; Metazoa; Chordata; Actinopteri; Cypriniformes; Cyprinidae
Source: RefSeq, a predicted model, not a curated record
GCAGUUCGACACAUUUUCAUUUGGUGGCGCUGUGGCUCCUGUGUGGCCGCACUGAUUGAAAGACUGGAAAUGGAGAGAAACGCAAAACUCAAUCCACUGGCAUCAGAUCCGGUGUAUGUCUAGCUGUGCAUCAUGGAAAGAAAUAUGUCAAAACUUGAGGCAUCAGCCAAGUACAGGCAUGAAAAUGACUGGAAACACAAGCAAACAAACAAGCAAAGGACAAAGGACCAAUUCAGAGAAGCAGCUGUUUGGACUCUCAUUCUGACGGCACCCAUUCACUACAGAGGAUCCAUCUGUUUGGUUGAAGAAACAAGCUCACAUAUAUCUUGGAUUACCUGAGGAUGAGUAAAGUUUCAGCAAAUUUGGGGUAAACUAUUCUGCCUUAGAUGAAUAAAAGUAUUUUUUAAAGGAAAAAUAAAAUCUUACUGACUCCAAAAACAAACAACAUUUUCUUUUACUUUUGCCUGUCAUCCAAAAGUCUUUUCUCGUGUACGGUAGUCCCGUCAGAACAAAUAGGUGCAUUACUGCAGUGCAAUUUGGUAAU